This 497-nucleotide ribosomal RNA is filed under the name uncultured bacterium. RNAcentral's name for it is "partial 16S ribosomal RNA". It matches the Rfam family "Bacterial small subunit ribosomal RNA", at positions 28 to 507 of the family's 1533-position model. The record is from RNAcentral.
GAUGAACGCUGGCGGCUUGCCUAAUACAUGCAAGUCGAGCGAACAGACGAGGAGCUUGCUCCUCUGACGUUAGCGGCGGACGGGUGAGUAACACGUGGAUAACCUACCUAUAAGACUGGGAUAACUUCGGGAAACCGGAGCUAAUACCGGAUAAUAUAUUGAACCGCAUGGUUCAAUAGUGAAAGACGGUUUUGCUGUCACUUAUAGAUGGAUCCGCGCCGCAUUAGCUAGUUGGUAAGGUAACGGCUUACCAAGGCUACGAUGCGUAGCCGACCUGAGAGGGUGAUCGGCCACACUGGAACUGAGACACGGUCCAGACUCCUACGGGAGGCAGCAGUAGGGAAUCUUCCGCAAUGGGCGAAAGCCUGACGGAGCAACGCCGCGUGAGUGAUGAAGGUCUUCGGAUCGUAAAACUCUGUUAUUAGGGAAGAACAAAUGUGUAAGUAACUAUGCACGUCUUGACGGUACCUAAUCAGAAAGCCACGGCUAACUACGUG